CUACGGGCGGCUCCAGUGGGGAAUAUUGCACAAUGGGGGAAACCCUGAUGCAGCGACGCCGCGUGAGUGAAGAAGUAUUUCGGUAUGUAAAGCUCUAUCAGCAGGGAAGAAAAUGACGGUACCUGACUAAGAAGCCCCGGCUAACUACGUGCCAGCAGCCGCGGUAAUACGUAGGGGGCAAGCGUUAUCCGGAUUUACUGGGUGUAAAGGGAGCGUAGACGGUGAGACAAGUCUGAAGUGAAAUCCCGGGGCUCAACCCCGGAACUGCUUUGGAAACUGCCUGACUAGAGUGCAGGAGAGGUAAGUGGAAUUCCUAGUGUAGCGGUGAAAUGCGUAGAUAUUAGGAGGAACACCAGUGGCGAAGGCGGCUUACUGGACUGUAACUGACGUUGAGGCUCGAAAGCGUGGGGAGCAAACAGGAUUAGAUACCCCCGUAGUC
Molecule: ribosomal RNA, 439 nt
Filed under: uncultured bacterium
Lineage: Bacteria
Description: partial 16S ribosomal RNA
Rfam family: Bacterial small subunit ribosomal RNA
Source: RNAcentral